GACCCAGCGCCGAGCCCGAGCCAUGGCGUCCGAACGGCUCCCUAGCAGGCCCGCCUGUCUGCUCGUGGCCAGCGGCGCCGCCGAAGGGGAAAGCCAUGGAAUUUGUGGAUGUGACUGAGAGCAAUGCACGCUGGGUGCAAGACUUCCGCCUCAAGGCUUACGCCAGCCCCGCCAAGCUCGAGUCCAUCGAUGGUGCCCGGUACCAUGCCCUCCUGAUCCCCAGCUGUCCUGGGGCCCUGACCGACCUGGCCAGCAGUGGCUCCCUGGCCCGUAUCCUGCAGCACUUCCACUCUGAGAGCAAACCCAUCUGCGCCGUCGGCCACGGUGUCGCCGCCCUGUGCUGUGCCACCAACGAGGACAGAUCCUGGGUGUUCCAUGGCUACAGCCUGACAGGGCCCUCUGUGUGUGAGCUCGUCAGGGCCCCCGGCUUCGCCCGCCUGCCGCUCGUGGUGGAGGACUUCGUGAAGGAUUCGGGCGCCUGCUUCAGUGCAAGCGAGCCUGACGCUGUCCACGUCGUGCUGGACCGCCACCUGGUCACGGGCCAGAAUGCCAGCUCCAC
This 559-nucleotide small RNA is filed under the name Pan troglodytes (chimpanzee). RNAcentral's name for it is "processed transcript". Lineage: Eukaryota; Metazoa; Chordata; Mammalia; Primates; Hominidae. The record is from RNAcentral.